This 206-nucleotide ribosomal RNA is filed under the name uncultured bacterium. RNAcentral's name for it is "partial 16S ribosomal RNA". It matches the Rfam family "Bacterial small subunit ribosomal RNA", at positions 568 to 774 of the family's 1533-position model. The record is from RNAcentral.
CACGUAGGCGGCUUUUUAAGUCAGGGGUGAAAUCCUGGAGCUCAACUCCAGAACUGCCUUUGAUACUGAGAAGCUCGAGUCCGGGAGAGGUGAGUGGAACUGCGAGUGUAGAGGUGAAAUUCGUAGAUAUUCGCAAGAACACCAGUGGCGAAGGCGGCUCACUGGCCCGGUACUGACGCUGAGGUCGAAAGCGUGGGAGGCAAACA